RNAcentral lists this non-coding RNA (23 nucleotides) under Mus musculus (house mouse). The record is from RNAcentral. Lineage: Eukaryota; Metazoa; Chordata; Mammalia; Rodentia; Muridae.
UAGAUGACUAUCUGGAGGUGGCC